Molecule: ribosomal RNA, 374 nt
Filed under: uncultured prokaryote
Description: bacterial SSU rRNA
Rfam family: Bacterial small subunit ribosomal RNA
Source: RNAcentral
UACGGGGGGGGCAAGCGUUGUUCGGAAUUACUGGGCGUAAAGGGCGCGUAGGCGGCUCGCUAAGUUGGAUGUGAAAACUCUGGGCUUAACCCAGAGCCUGCAUUCAAAACUGACGAGCUAGAGUUCUGGAGGGGAUAGCGGAAUUCCUGGUGUAGCGGUGAAAUGCGUAGAUAUCAGGAGGAACACCGGUGGCGAAGGCGGCUAUCUGGACAGAAACUGACGCUGAGGCGCGAAAGCUAGGGGAGCAAACAGGAUUAGAUACCCUGGUAGUCCUAGCCCUAAACGAUGGAUACUUGCUGUGAGGGGGAUUGAAUCCCUUCGUGGCGAAGCUAACGCAUUAAGUAUCCCGCCUGGGGAGUACGGUCGCAAGGCUG